RNAcentral lists this Y RNA (113 nucleotides) under Carlito syrichta (Philippine tarsier). Its description in RNAcentral is "Y RNA (ENSTSYG00000034932.1)". It matches the Rfam family "Y RNA". Rfam says of the family: Y RNAs are components of the Ro ribonucleoprotein particle (Ro RNP), in association with Ro60 and La proteins. The Y RNAs and Ro60 and La proteins are well conserved, but the function of the Ro RNP is not known. In humans the RNA component can be one of four small RNAs -- hY1, hY3, hY4 and hY5. The record is from Rfam by way of RNAcentral. Lineage: Eukaryota; Metazoa; Chordata; Mammalia; Primates; Tarsiidae.
GGCUGGUGCAAAGGUAGUGAGUUAUCUCAAUUGAUUGUUCACAAUCAGUUACAGAUUGAACACCUUGUUCUAUUCUUUCUCCCCUUCUCGCUAUUGCACUUGACUAGUCUUAA